UUUUGUGUUGUAUUGUAGUUUACUUUAUCUCUCUACUUUUCUGUUGCUUUGUGUGAAAUUUAUGGAGUUGGAUAGUUUUGUUUAACAAGAAACAAAACUGAACUUUCUGUAUGUAUAUGGUUUAACUGAUUUAGUAUAAGCUCUUCUCCUAGGACUGUUAUGAGUAUGAUUAUUAGAUGUUAAGUAUUCAAAGUUAUUGUCUGUAUAAAACGUAUCAUUUUCUGGUGGAGUAAAGCAAAAUAAAGAUCCAUUUUGUCUCUCAGUCUCUGUUUCAAAUCCUUCAAUAGUUAAAGUUUCUUCCUCUGCUUGCUCUCUCACUGUCUCUCUGUCCUUUUAUAUCCGGCUUUGUAUAUUUUGUUUUUGAUACCUUAUUUGCUUCUAAUUACAUAGGCAAGGAUCACUUAUAAAAUGGUAGUAGUCAUUGUUUGUGGAGUUGCAAUUAAUACGGAAUGAUGGAAUUUAAUCUAUGGUGCUCUUCUUAUCAAUUAUACUGUCUUAAUUUAAGGUACAAUGUCCGAAUUUAUGAUUGUUGUGCAUCUAUUAUCUCAUUGAUUUUGACUUCUUAAUUUCGAAAUAUGUUAUAGUGAUAUGUUUCAGCGUCAUUAGCUUUUGUUGAUGGUUAAAUUGUUUGUUUUCUUUUUUAAGGUUCCUGAAGGGAGCUUCAAGCAUUGAUUAACACUUUUACUCAACGCCCUUUGAGAAAAAACAUACCUGUAUUUGCCCCCGCUGACUUGACCUUUUCUUGAUAUUUGAUUGUUCUACUUGAUGGAUGUGUCAUUAAAUUAUCUUUUAUAAUAUCUAUCGCAUGCAUUACUAUUCGUUUUGUGAUAGACUUUUUCUUCCGGUCCAAAUGAUUACUGAAAAAAACAGUGGUUUACUAUACGAAUGUUUGAUAUGUAUUACUAUUUGUUGGAAAAAAACAGUGGAUUACUAUAACAAAUGUUUGAUAUGAAUGCAACUUAUUAUGUAGAUCUUAUUCCACAGAAUUGCUAUGAUAUUUAAGCAUUUUUCAUUCGAGUCUGUGCAGUCUGUACCACUAUUUUUUGGUAUAGGUAUUCAAAUCACGCCCAAAACAUUAUAUUAUGAAAAAAUAUCAAUUCCAUAAAAUAUUAAAUAUUUUUUUUUAGUUGUUU
This 1133-nucleotide long non-coding RNA is filed under the name Panax ginseng (ginseng). Its description in RNAcentral is "long non-coding RNA (PGIN_LNC010264)". The record is from RNAcentral. Lineage: Eukaryota; Viridiplantae; Streptophyta; Magnoliopsida; Apiales; Araliaceae.